UACAGAGGAAGUAAUUCUUCUUGAUAAUAAACCGAUCAAAUUUCUGCCCUAUCAUACUUUGGACGGUAAUGUAGUGGAUUACGGUGGUGAUGACGGGUAACGGAGAAUUAGGGUUUGAUUCCGGAGAGGGAGCAUGAGAAAUGGCUACCACUUCCAAGGAAGGCAGCAGGCGCGUAAAUUACCCAAUCCUAAAACAGGGGAGGUAGUGACGAUAAAUAACAAUGAUUCAAUGAUAACAAAGUUGAAUUAAUUGGAAUGAGAACAAUAUAAAUCCCUUAUCGAGUAACAAUUUCAGGGCAAGUUCUGGUGCCAGCAGCCGCGGUAAUUCCAGCUGAAAAAGCGUAUACGAAUAUGUUGCAGUUAAAACGCUCGUAGUUGGAACUAAAAAAGAGAAAGAGAG
Molecule: ribosomal RNA, 400 nt
Filed under: uncultured eukaryote
Lineage: Eukaryota
Description: bacterial SSU rRNA
Rfam family: Eukaryotic small subunit ribosomal RNA
Source: RNAcentral